Molecule: long non-coding RNA, 241 nt
Organism: Anopheles moucheti
Lineage: Eukaryota; Metazoa; Arthropoda; Insecta; Diptera; Culicidae
Exons: 3
Source: RefSeq, a predicted model, not a curated record
GUGGAAUGUUGACCAACGCGGCGUCAAGACAAGUUGACGCUGAAAAUAUAUUAUGGCUACCGCGGGAUUUUGGUAUUUUUUGUUAUUGUAAAGUGAUUGGCACGAAGGACAAGACCAUGAACACUGUCCAAGAAGAAUGAAGCGGAAAGGACAAAAAAUUAAGCAUGACCUACGCAUAACACCAUAUCUGUAACCAAGAAAAGUGCAAGUGAAAAAUAUGUAAAUAAAAGCAAUAAUAAAU